This 471-nucleotide ribosomal RNA is filed under the name uncultured bacterium. RNAcentral's name for it is "bacterial SSU rRNA". It matches the Rfam family "Bacterial small subunit ribosomal RNA", at positions 370 to 859 of the family's 1533-position model. The record is from RNAcentral.
AAUGGGGGAAACCCUGAUGGUGCGACGCCGCGUGGGGGAAGAAGGUCUUCGGAUUGUAAACCCCUGUCAUGUGGGACAUUAAAAAGAUAGUACCACAAGAGGAAGAGACGGCUAACUCUGUGCCAGCAGCCGCGGUAAUACAGAGGUCUCAAGCGUUGUUCGGAAUCACUGGGCGUAAAGCGUGCGUAGGCUGUUUCUAAGUCGUGUGUGAAAGGCGCGGGCUCAACCCGCGGACGGCACAUGAUACUGCGAGACUAGAGUAAUGGAGGGGGAACCGGAAUUCUCGGUGUAGCAGUGAAAUGCGUAGAUAUCGAGAGGAACACUCGUGGCGAAGGCGGGUUCCUGGACAUUAACUGACGCUGAGGCACGAAGGUCAGGGGAGCGAAAGGGAUUAGAUACCCCUGUAGUCCUGGCAGUAAACGGUGCACGCUUGGUGUGCGGGGUCGCCCCCUGCGUGCCGGAGCUAACGCG